Molecule: ribosomal RNA, 645 nt
Filed under: uncultured bacterium
Lineage: Bacteria
Description: bacterial SSU rRNA
Rfam family: Bacterial small subunit ribosomal RNA
Source: RNAcentral
UCGAGGGGCAGCGGGGUUGUAGCAAUACAACUCCUGGAGACCGGCGCACGGGUGAGUAACACGUAUGUAACCUGCCCUCUGCAGGGGGAUAAGCGGAAGAAAUUCCGUCUAAUACCGCAUAAUACAAUUUGGAGACAUCUCCGGGUUGUCAAAGGAGUGAUCCGGCAGAGGAUGGACAUGCGGCGCAUUAGCUAGUCGGCGGGGUAACGGCCCACCGAGGCUACGAUGCGUAGGGGUUCUGAGAGGAAGGUCCCCCACACUGGUACUGAGACACGGACCAGACUCCUACGGGAGGCAGCAGUGAGGAAUAUUGGUCAAUGGGCGGAAGCCUGAACCAGCCAAGUCGCGUGAGGGAAGACGGUCCUAUGGAUUGUAAACCUCUUUUGCAGGGGAGCAAGGCGCGGUACGUGUACCGCGAAGGAGAGUACCCUGAGAAAAAGCAUCGGCUAACUCCGUGCCAGCAGCCGCGGUAAUACGGAGGAUGCGAGCGUUAUCCGGAUUUAUUGGGUUUAAAGGGUGCGCAGGCGGACUGUUAAGUCAGCGGUAAAAUGUCGGUGCUCAACACCGGCCGGCCGUUGAAACUGGCAGCCUUGAGUGAGCGAGAAGUAUGCGGAAUGCGUGGUGUAGCGGUGAAAUGCAUAGAUA